GAGCCGGAAGAGCAAAAAUGGCGGCGGCAAUGCGAGUGGCGGCGGCUGGGGCAAGGCUCAGCCUUCUAGUCAGCGGCUUCCGCACCGCGGCCCGCAGCCUUUGCAGCCAGCCCGUUUCGGUGAACGAGCGCAUCGAGAACAAGCGCCGCAGCGCGCUGCUGGGAGGCGGCCAGCGCCGCAUCGACGCGCAGCACAAGCGAGGAAAGCUAACUGCCAGGGAGCGGAUCAGUCUCCUGGUGGAUCCUGGCAGCUUUGUUGAGAGCGACAUGUUUGUGGAACACAGAUGUGCAGAUUUUGGAAUGGCUGCUGAUAAGAAUAAGUUUCCUGGAGACAGCGUGGUCACUGGACGGGGCCGAAUCAAUGGAAGAUUGGUAUAUAUCUUCAGUCAGGAUUUUACAGUUUUUGGAGGCAGUCUGUCAGGAGCACAUGCCCAAAAGAUCUGCAAAAUCAUGGACCAGGCCAUAACAGUGGGGGCUCCAGUGAUUGGGCUGAAUGACUCUGGGGGAGCACGGAUCCAAGAGGGGGUGGAAUCCUUGGCUGGCUACGCAGACAUCUUUCUGAGGAAUGUCACAGCAUCCGGAGUCAUCCCUCAGAUUUCUCUGAUCAUGGGCCCGUGUGCUGGCGGGGCUGUCUACUCUCCAGCCCUAACAGACUUCACGUUCAUGGUAAAGGACACCUCAUACCUGUUCAUCACUGGCCCUGAUGUUGUAAAGUCUGUCACCAAUGAGGAUGUUACCCAGGAAGAGCUCGGCGGUGCCAAGACCCAUACUACCAUGUCAGGUGUGGCCCACAGAGCUUUUGAAAAUGACGUUGAUGCCUUGUGUAAUCUCCGGGAGUUCUUCAACUUUCUGCCCCUCAGCAGUCAGGACCCGGCUCCCAUCCGCGAGUGCCAUGAUCCCAGUGAUCGUCUAGUUCCUGAGCUCGACACAGUUGUCCCUUUGGAAUCUACCAAAGCCUACGACAUGGUGGACAUCAUACACUCUGUUGUUGAUGAGCGAGAAUUUUUUGAGAUCAUGCCUAAUUACGCCAAGAACAUCGUUGUUGGUUUUGCAAGAAUGAAUGGAAGGACUGUUGGAAUUGUUGGCAACCAACCUAAGGUGGCCUCAGGAUGCUUGGAUAUUAAUUCAUCUGUGAAAGGGGCUCGUUUUGUCAGGUUCUGUGAUGCAUUCAAUAUUCCACUCAUCACUUUCGUGGAUGUCCCUGGCUUUCUGCCUGGCACAGCACAGGAAUAUGGGGGCAUCAUCCGACAUGGCGCCAAGCUUCUCUACGCAUUUGCUGAGGCAACUGUGCCCAAAGUCACAGUCAUCACCAGGAAGGCCUAUGGAGGUGCCUAUGAUGUCAUGAGCUCUAAGCACCUUCUUGGUGACACCAACUAUGCCUGGCCCACAGCAGAGAUCGCAGUCAUGGGAGCAAAGGGUGCUGUGGAGAUCAUCUUCAAAGGGCAUGAGAAUGUGGAAGCUGCUCAGGCAGAGUACAUUGAGAAAUUUGCCAAUCCUUUUCCUGCAGCAGUGAGAGGGUUUGUGGAUGACAUCAUCCAACCUUCCACCACUCGUGCCCGAAUCUGCUGUGACCUUGAGGUCUUGGCCAGCAAGAAGACAUGUUUGAGGAACGCUUGCUCACCAGUUAUUUUGUAGAAAGGCCCUCAGUUCGGGUUUGUCUGAUUGUCUUCUGAUGUUAAGAUUCAGAUGCUGCCUAAUCCACUGACUGAUGCCAGCUAAGAGGAAUUACUAUAUGAUGAUGGUUGUGAAAAAUCUCUAAGGACACACAUUAAACCAUGGGGUCACCUUUGAAAAGAGAGAGACUGAGAAUUUAAAGUUUUGCUUCACAUAUUCCUGGAAUAUUUUUAAACAAGAGAAUGUAUUACUAAGGUUAUGUGUGUAUUCUUUCCUGUAUUUCUUCCUUUGCUUAUAAACACCGAUGUUCAAAAAAACAGGAAGUUUGGCUCAAAAAGUUUAUUUUAUUUUAUUUUUUAAAGUGUUCAAACCAGGGCAGAAUUUCUGGAAGGAGGGAAUGAGGAUGGUAAGAACAACAAGAGUUUAUAGCAUCUGAACCAUAACCCGUUCCCUUCCCUUGUCCCCUUCUCCUCCAGUACAGUUCCGUUAUGGAAACUUGACCCCAUCUUCUUAGUGACCUGCUUAGGGUCACUAAGAUGAUAUGGUCACCCUCUCUCUCUCUAGCUCCCAGUCUACAGUGCCACCCUGAAUGAAAGGAGCACACCAUUUGCAUUUCUCAUCACCCCCUAGCCCUAUGUUGUAGGAGCUCUUUUCUGAGCAAUGAGGAACAAUGAGGUUCCAUUUUCCUACCCAGCCUCCACUUGUGGGGUAGAAACUCUAUCGUAGGCACAGCAGGCUGAGAAUACUGGGGCUCUGAAUGUCUCACCUCAACUCCCUCGUAAAGUGGAGGCUCCAUACCUGGAGAGGCAAACAGAGAACCAGGGGUAACCUGCCUUUCUUUAUGCAGGGGUAUUAUUUUGGGAGAAGAAGGAUGCUGUCCCAUCCCAUCCUAGCCCUCCUUUUUCCCCCCUUCGGAGACAUGAAAGUUAUAAGUUCUGCCCAGGAGCUGAGAGAUUGUAAGGAAGAAAUUCUUCAGCUCUGUUGGGGAGGGGACUGACUAUUUGGAAUGGAGCUGAGAUAGGAUGACCUCCACUUUCAUAACAUAUGCAAUUCGCUUCUGUGAAACUGCUUGCUGUGUGACAAGGUAGAUUAAGUUUAAAUUGCUUAGAAAAUGUUUUUUGAAAGUCCCCCUCAGCUCUUCAGCCCCCUUGAUAAAAGUUAAAAGCUAAAUAUUAGCCUGCACUUAGAGAAGUUUGAAUUUUGUUUGCUGUUCCCCACCCAAGCUGCCCCUGAUUUUAACUGGCUUGUUUCAGCUUCUGUUAUCAGCUUGCGCUAGGCCUCCCCAAACCCCCUCCUCAUGCCAGGAGGGUAUGUGUGUAUGUGUGUGACUAUAUGAUAACUGUAAGUGUGUGACUAUUUGAUAAUUUUAACUGUGUGACUGAUGUAAAAAUGUGCCUUUAAAAAAACCCUCUAAACUUCAAGUCAGCGCUGCUCUCUUCUGAGACUUUCUUGGAGGGACAGUCGCCAGCUGGCCAAU
Cynocephalus volans (Philippine flying lemur) is the source of this 3090-nucleotide RNA transcript. It is a transcript of the gene named propionyl-CoA carboxylase subunit beta, with no coding region annotated. NCBI's taxonomy places the organism in Eukaryota, Metazoa, Chordata, Mammalia, Dermoptera, Cynocephalidae. The record is from RefSeq and is a predicted model, not a curated record. The transcript has 18 exons.